Molecule: ribosomal RNA, 491 nt
Filed under: Attheya sp. RCC5540
Lineage: Eukaryota; Bacillariophyta; Biddulphiophyceae; Attheyales; Attheyaceae
Description: SSU rRNA
Rfam family: Eukaryotic small subunit ribosomal RNA
Source: RNAcentral
CGGGUGGUCCGGCACUUAGUGUUGGUACUUUCCUGUCUCUUGCCAUCCUUGGGUCUAAGCUGUCUGGCAUUUAGUUGUCGGGCAGUGGCUGCCCAUCGUUUACUGUGAAAAAAUUAGAGUGUUCAAAGCAGGCUUAUGCCGUUGAAUAUAUUAGCAUGGAAUAAUAAGAUAGGACCUUGGUACUAUUUUGUUGGUUUGCGCACCGAGGUAAUGAUUAAGAGGGACAGUUGGGGGUAUUCGUAUUCAAUUGUCAGAGGUGAAAUUCUUGGAUUUCUGGAAGACGAACUACUGCGAAAGCAUUUACCAAGGAUGUUUUCAUUAAUCAAGAACGAAAGUUAGGGGAUCGAAGAUGAUUAGAUACCAUCGUAGUCUUAACCAUAAACUAUGCCGACUAGGGAUUUGUGGGUGUUAUUUAUGACCCCAUGAGCACCUUAUGAGAAAUCAAAGUCUUUGGGUUCCGGGGGGAGUAUGGUCGCAAGUCUGAAACUUAA